RNAcentral lists this ribosomal RNA (409 nucleotides) under bacterium. Its description in RNAcentral is "partial 16S ribosomal RNA". It matches the Rfam family "Bacterial small subunit ribosomal RNA", at positions 355 to 776 of the family's 1533-position model. The record is from RNAcentral.
UGGGGAAUAUUGCACAAUGGGCGAAAGCCUGAUGCAGCGACGCCGCGUGAGGGAUGACGGCCUUCGGGUUGUAAACAUCUUUCAGUAGGGACGAAGCGCAAGUGACGGUACCUGCAGAAGAAGCACCGGCUAACUACGUGCCAGCAGCCGCGGUAAUACGUAGGGUGCGAGCGUUGUCCGGAAUUACUGGGCGUAAAGAGCUCGUAGGCGGUUUGUCACGUCGUCUGUGAAAUCCUAGGGCUUAACCCUGGACGUGCAGGCGAUACGGGCUGACUUGAGUACUACAGGGGAGACUGGAAUUUCUGGUGUAGCGGUGGAAUGCACAGAUAUCAGGAAGAACACCGAUGGCGAAGGCAGGUCUCUGGGUAGUAACUGACGCUGAGGAGCGAAAGCAUGGGUAGCGAACAGG